UCACAGUGGUCUGUAGAGUCUGCUUGACGCCAGCAAAUGUAACUGGAUCCCAAGCCCCUGCAAGCCAGGAAUUGCAGCCAUGAUCAGCAUGCUGCCGAGAACGCAAACCUUGGCACUGGCCAAAACCAAAUACUCUGAAUCCUCUAUUUAUCUUAUGGCAGGGCUUGGGAAAGGAGGAAAGAGGAGUUCAUCAAAAUGUGAAAAAGAAUGGCUGGGAAAGGCUAGGAGUAAGUAAAUAGAAAUCCAAGAUGCAAAUAAGUCAGUUCUACAACAGAUUUAUGAGACCGGACUUCCAAAAGCUAGAACAGGGGUUUGCAAAAAAGCAAUACUUCAUUCUCCAGUAACCUAGUAACGGGACAGGCACGCACAAAGCAGAUCGCCUUUAUAAAAAGCUUGUGUCAGCAAGGUUGACUUUAGUGGAAUAAAUAAGAAUAAGCUGCUUGGCAGCAGAUCACUGCUGACUAUAAUCUCACAGGUCAGAUUUUCCAAGUUCAUUUCAUAGCUCAUUCAAUACACACAUAACUCCAGCUACCAUUUCUGUCUAGGAAUAAUAUGGGGCACCAUCUUCCACACAGCCUUUGAUGAGGUGUUGGGUUUUUACCUUAAUUUUACAUGGUGUGCAGCUGAAAUAAAUCUGGUCUCUGACUCUAAGGAGCUCAAUUACUUUGCCUGAACUUCUUUUUUUUUCUGUCACUUACAGCCCUUUCCUCCUGUAGAAGCGUACAAAAUGAAGGAUUGAUAGUUUAUUUGACUAAGAAGUUGUUCAUCCUAACUAUUCUAGGAUUUCUAACUUGGGUAGCUUGUGCCUACAACAGUGUGAGCAUUUCACAGAAGAAAAAACAAGUGUAUCGAGGCAGUUAUUUGCCAAAGGUGACAUGAUGAGUCAGCAGCAGAGCCAAGAUUAGAGUACAGCGUUCAGACUGCCCAUCCCACAUGGGGCUCACUAAACCACUGCUCCUCCUGCAGCCUCCAGGGAAUAAAGUUCAUUUAGUUAGGUGGUAAAUGCUCAACUCCUGCCCUUGCACUUCACCUUGUUAUUUAUCUAAGUUUUGGCAGGCAUAAUUGUUUGUUGCCAAGGAAGACUACAGCUCACGAGAAACAACAAAAAAAGCAUUGAUCUUAUCUGUGGAAGAAAGGACACUGCAACAGCAAAGUUUGAGAGAACAAGAUCAGCAGUCUGCACUGGGAAUGGCUCAGAGAAGGCUCAUGGAGCAGAAAGGCUAGUGAGUGCUAAGAGGGCUGGUCUCUGGGAGACUGCAAGCAGCUAAGAACUAUCACCACCAAGCAACCUCUUGAAGACAGCAGAACCCAAGAUGGAGUGAGCACUACAAAGCAGGUGACCACCAGGAAAGAAAAUGUGUGACACCACAUUGGUCUCUGUCAGUGGGGUACUUUCCUACUUGGAAAGAACUUUCCAUGAGAAAGUCUGGAUGGCUGCAGUACAAGUUCUUAUAAUAUCCAGAGCCAAACUGUAAUUUGGUGGUACAUAUAACAUAGUAUGGUAUUAAGUGUGGUAUCUGUUUCUAUAUGUAUUUGAAUGCACAUGGCAGUGCUUUUUUCUGUGAUGGGUGAUGCAGAAAUGCUUGUGCUGGGCAGGAAAUGCAGCCAGAUAUUCUAGGAAGCCUCCAUGUUAGCCUAAGGCAGCUAUAAAAAGAAAAUGGGGUGCUGCUUAGAUGGUUUAAUAGUAAGGACUGAGUUACCAUUACUGGUCAUGUUUCAUCGGCUUUUUGCAUUUCUAUCUCCAAGAAAUAUAAAGGAUUCCCUGAGAGCAGGACACACAAGAAGCUUUAAGCCCUUAGAAUGUAAAUAUUUGUGAAGCAGAUGGUGAGCCCCGAGUAUUAGGGUAAACAUCAAUUUUUCUGUUUUAUUCUCAUAUGCGAGUGUAUUUUAUUCAGACCUUAAUCUUUGUGCUGUGUAACUGCCA
Molecule: long non-coding RNA, 1924 nt
Filed under: Gallus gallus (chicken)
Lineage: Eukaryota; Metazoa; Chordata; Aves; Galliformes; Phasianidae
Description: long non-coding RNA NONGGAT002114
Source: RNAcentral